RNAcentral lists this ribosomal RNA (785 nucleotides) under Demequina sp. ER-8. Its description in RNAcentral is "bacterial SSU rRNA". It matches the Rfam family "Bacterial small subunit ribosomal RNA", at positions 56 to 850 of the family's 1533-position model. Lineage: Bacteria; Bacillati; Actinomycetota; Actinomycetes; Micrococcales; Demequinaceae. The record is from RNAcentral.
UGCAAGUCGAACGGUGACCUCGGAGCUUGCUCCGGGCGAUCAGUGGCGAACGGGUGAGUAACACGUGAGUAACCUGCCCCAGACUCUGGGAUAAGCCUUGGAAACGAGGUCUAAUACCGGAUACGAGACGAGACCGCAUGGUCAUUGUCUGGAAAGUUUUUCGGUCUGGGAUGGACUCGCGGCCUAUCAGCUAGUUGGUGAGGUAAUGGCUCACCAAGGCGACGACGGGUAGCCGGCCUGAGAGGGCGACCGGCCACACUGGAACUGAGACACGGUCCAGACUCCUACGGGAGGCAGCAGUGGGGAAUAUUGCACAAUGGGCGAAAGCCUGAUGCAGCAACGCCGCGUGGGGGAUGAAGGCCUUCGGGUUGUAAACCCCUUUUAGCAGGGAAGAAGCGAAAGUGACGGUACCUGCAGAAAAAGCGCCGGCUAACUACGUGCCAGCAGCCGCGGUAAUACGUAGGGCGCAAGCGUUGUCCGGAAUUAUUGGGCGUAAAGAGCUCGUAGGCGGUUUGUCGCGUCUGCUGUGAAAGCCCGAGGCUCAACCUCGGAUCUGCAGUGGGUACGGGCAGACUAGAGUGUGGUAGGGGAGACUGGAAUUCCUGGUGUAGCGGUGGAAUGCGCAGAUAUCAGGAGGAACACCAAUGGCGAAGGCAGGUCUCUGGGCCACAACUGACGCUGAGGAGCGAAAGCGUGGGUAGCAAACAGGAUUAGAUACCCUGGUAGUCCACGCCGUAAACGGUGGGCACUAGAUGUGGGGCUCUUUCCAUGAGUUCCGCGUCGCA